This 497-nucleotide ribosomal RNA is filed under the name uncultured bacterium. RNAcentral's name for it is "partial 16S ribosomal RNA". It matches the Rfam family "Bacterial small subunit ribosomal RNA", at positions 28 to 507 of the family's 1533-position model. The record is from RNAcentral.
GAUGAACGCUGGCGGCGUGCCUAAUACAUGCAAGUCGAGCGAACGGACGAGAAGCUUGCUUCUCUGAUGUUAGCGGCGGACGGGUGAGUAACACGUGGAUAACCUCCCUAUAAGACUGGGAUAACUUCGGGAAACCGGAGCUAAUACCGGAUGAUAUUUUGAACCGCAUGGUUCAAAAGUGAAAGACGGUGUUGAUGUCACUUAUAGAUGGAUCCGCGCUGCAUUAGCUAGUUGGUAAGGUAACGGCUUACCAAGGCAACGAUGCAUAGCCGACCUGAGAGGGUGAUCGGCCACACUGGAACUGAGACACGGUCCAGACUCCUACGGGAGGCAGCAGUAGGGAAUCUUCCGCAAUGGGCGAAAGCCUGACGGAGCAACGCCGCGUGAGUGAUGAAGGUCUUCGGAUCGUAAAACUCUGUUAUUAGGGAAGAACAUAUGUGUAAGUAACUGUGCACAUCUUGACGGUACCUAAUCAGAAAGCCACGGCUAACUACGUG